Molecule: unclassified non-coding RNA, 6260 nt
Filed under: Manduca sexta (tobacco hornworm)
Lineage: Eukaryota; Metazoa; Arthropoda; Insecta; Lepidoptera; Sphingidae
Description: telomerase-binding protein EST1A, transcript variant X3
Source: RNAcentral
AUGAAAAAUAUUCCAAUAGCCAGAGCCGUAAGUAAUAAAAAAAAAUUGAACUUGAAAAUAUAGCAAAAUAUCGUCAAAGGGAAAUUUUUAAGUCAAUACUUUUCUGGAUUCAUAUGAAUUUAUUGUUGAAUAGCAAUAAUCUACGAAAGUAUGUGAUUGGUUUUUCUAACGUCAAUAUUUAUAAAUAUUAAUGCAGCGAAGUGGUAAUACGAACAUAACCUCAGUGUUUACGAGAAGAUAAAAGAUUGUUUUAAAUUCUUAUACAUUAUUGUCUUUGAGAAUAGGUUGAUGAUAUUAUGUUGUUGUGACUAAAGUUUUCUGCACAUCUUGCCUUUGUACUGCUAUGGAUGAUGACUGCAAGGAAUACAGGAAAAAUAAACCACAACAAAAGUUUUAUAAGCCUGGUAGUGGACCAUUAAGACGUUCAAGUUAUGGUUUAGAUACAAAAAUGGAUGUACAUGAUUCAGAUAAUAGCGGUAAAAGAUAUAGGUCGCACUAUGGAUCGCAGUAUUCUAUUAAUGAUGAUUUGAGUGAUGCACACAGUGAACAUUCUGUUUCUAAUAUUCGCCAUAAUAAUAGAAAACCUGAACAACAGCUUUACAUGCCUAGAUCAGGAGAUUCUGAAGUAGAUAAACAGUCUCGAACAUCCACCAGGUAUGAUAAUUCUAGUCAUUACAACAACAGAUCUAAUAAUACAGAUAAACAUGGCAUGAAUAGUGCUGGUUACAAUAGAGGAUCAAGAAGAGAUAGAACAUAUUAUGGAGACUACCACAAUAAGGCUGGAGGACAAAAUGACAUAAACUAUAACAGACCAUAUAGACAGCCUUCAGAAACUAGGUCUAUAUCACCUACUCACAGUGCUCAAGAUCAAAAAGUUCUAGAUAGAAAUCGGGACAGCAAAAGUAUGGAAACAUCAGCAGGGAGACACAUGUCCUCAUCUGGAGGGAAGCCCCCUUCUGGACGAAGAAACUCUGCUGGUUAUAUAUCAGACACAUCUAGACCUAAGUAUAUGGUUAAUUUAGACAAUAUACCUCCAAGAUUUAGGAAGAAAUUUUUAGAACAAUCAGCACACCACAGUGUUGAUAACAUGGAACAAGCUUGCAGAGAUAAGUCCUCAUCUAAUUACUCAUUGCAACCUGCUGCUACUGAUGACCAUGUCUACAAUUCAAACUCAAAUUGGUCUCAAACAUUACCCUCUAGAGGCAGAGGAAGGUUAAGAGACCAUGAAGGGUUUGAUAGGGACAAGUUUAUAAACACUUACCUAAAAACAUAUGAAAAACAGAAUUCAAGACAGUCUACUCCUAGCAGUUCAUAUAUCAAUUUGUAUGAGUUUAGUAACACAGAUCAAGGGUUUGUAAAGAAUAAACCCAAUCCAAUGAGUAGAAGUACAGAGAGUAAAAGUGAAUUUGAGAAUGCAGCACAACAAAAUGGAUUAAACAAUAUGAAAGUCCAAAUACCCUCUCAUAGUGACAAACAGAAUUAUAAACAAGACAUAGAAUGUGAACCUGACAAUGAAACAUCCCAGGUGUCUACUACAUUAUCAGACCUGACUAAUUUGGACUGGACAGAAGAAGUGGAAAAAAAUAUCCAACUAGAUGAUACAUGUGAUACAUCAACAAGUUUUUCCCAAAACUUAAAAAAAUCAAAUGCUGAAGAAUUGAAACCACAGGAGACAAAAGAAUCGAAGCGUAGUGGAAGGUCUAGGCGUAAAGACAGACGAAGCUCCAGUAGGGGUGUCAGAAAUGCUGAGAAGAAAGAAAGAAAUAGAAAGGACAGUACUGCUAGUGUGCAGCAUGACAUGGAGAGUACAAGAAAAGACAGCAAUGUCAGUUUGCAAAAUGAUCUUAUGUCAUUGAGUUUAAGACGAAGAGAAAGAGAAAGAAGAGACAGUUAUAGAAGCAAUCGUUCAUCCACUAUCGGUAACAGCAGAGACGACUUAGACCGGUGGCGCUCUUUACGCUCCUAUAGUAGAGAGCAGAGUACUGAAGGAAGAAUAAUGUCCCAAUGCAACAGUAGAGAUACAUCGCUCGGUCGAGCUCUCAGUCCGAGAGAUAACGACGGGUUUCGAGUUCCUUCCGCCGUCAAUAAACCGGCCGCUUGGUCGUCGAUGAGUCAGAAAAAUAGUGCACCAGGCAACGGGCGUACGUCUAGCGUGGAACGAGGUCGCCAGUCGCCGGCAACUGUGACCGCGACGGUGGCGAGCGGUGGCGCAGAAGGCGGCGGCGGGCGGCGUUCCAAGCGGCGCUCGGGUCGCCGCCGCGCCCGUGGGGCCGACCCGCCCGCGCACGCGCAGCCCGUCGCGCACGCAGCGCCCGCCGCGCACACCGCGCACACCGCGCCCGCCGCGCACGCCGCGCACGCCGCGCACGCCGCACCCGCCGCCGCGCACGCCGCGCCACUCAGCUGGCGAGAAGAGAUCAUCGAGUCCAAGAGACUCAGUGCGCAUGACAAGUAUCCAGAGAACCCUAGUCACCGUAAUGUCGCAAAUAGUAGUGCGUCCGAAAAAUCUGAGACUACUAAUCAUUACCCAGGACUAAUAAUGCUUCCACAGGGAUCUAUUACUCAUCUGCAAAAAGACUUGGGACGGGGCCAGGGAACGGAAAAUCAAAAAACAUUAUUUGAUCAUCAGAAUCCAUCCAAACCAAUCAUUGUGCAGACAAGUCCAACGAAAGUAGAUCUGAGAAUGGAACGAGGUAUGAAAGAGACGUCGAGUCGCAACACAAUGACGUACGACAGUAACGAGGCGGCGCGCGCGGCGCGGCACCGCUCGCUGCUGCAGGAGGUGGACCGCGCCGACGUCAUCCUGCAGGCGCACAUGCUCAAGGGACCCGUCGGGCUGGCGGACCACUGGAGCGACGUCACCGACACGAGAACAUUCUUACAAAAUGCACUCCAAAGACUAUUAAUGUCAGACCUGAAGUAUUGUCAAGCGGACAAUAUCGAGCACCAGUUUUGGAAAAUAUUAUACUAUAAUUUCAUUGAAAUUUUAAGAAAGAGUUUCCCUCAAUUAUCAGCUGAAGACAAACCGAAAAUAAUUAAUCUUAUAAAUAUUAUCAUAGAAGAAGGUAAUACGUUUUUUGAGAAUCUCGUCCAAAUGUUGGAGAAAGCUUAUAAAUUUAAUGUGGACGACUACCUUAACGAUAGUCAUGCCUUGCCGCCCAAAGGGCUUGGGUACGUUGGCCUCGCUCUCAUAUCGGUGCAAAAACUGUAUGUGUAUCUCGGCGACCUCGCCAGAUACAAAGAACAAGUGAACGAAACAAACAAUUAUGCUAAGAGUAAACUGUGGUACACUAAAGCUCAACAAAUCAACCCGAAGAAUGGAAGGCCAUACAACCAACUAGCGAUAUUAGCAAUAUACGCGAGAAGAAAAUUAGAUGCGGUUUACUACUACAUGAGAAGUUUAAUGUCUUCGAAUCCCCUCCAGUCAGCAAGAGAAAGUUUACAAUCGUUGUUCGACGAAAAUAGAAAAAAGUAUGAAGCUGCGGAGAGGAAGCGACGUGCGGUUGCCGAAGGCGGCCGCAGCGGGGAGGCGGAGCGCGCCGGAGCGGGCGCGGCGGGCGCGGCGGGCGCGGCGGGCGCGGGCGGCGAGGUGUGGCUGCGGCCCGGCGAGCGCCGCGCCGGCCGGGCGCCGCGCGCGCCGCACGACCCGCUCGCCAACAUGUCGUCUGUUGAGCUGAACAAGAAUUUUAUUACAAGUUAUUUACAUGUGCAUGGAAAACUUAUAACAAAAAUCGGUAUGGAAACGUUCUAUGAGUGUGCGAGUUUGAUGCUGCGGCAGUUCCGCGCGUUGUUACACCGCCAACCGCUGCCGAUGCCCGCGGCCAGGCUUCUGCAGUUGACUGCGCUAAACAUGUUUGCGGUGGAAACUACUGCUGCCCCACUUAAAGACGGAAGCGGCGGUGGCGAGCGAUCAGCGUGGCUGGAGUGCGCUCUGGGCGUGUCGCUGCUGAUGUUCGGCGCGCUGGUGGAGCGCUGCUGCGCGCUGCUGCCGGAGCCGCAGCACACGCAGCACCACGCCGACGCGCUCAUACUGCUGCCUGCUAUUAAGGUGUGGUCCGACUGGAUGUUAUGUCACAGUAGCAUAUGGAAUCCACCACCGACAUUCGACAAUUUUGAUACAGAAAGUGAAAACGACCCUUGGGAUUGGCUCGCCAAACUUAUGAAUAUUCUCGAAAAAUUAGACGACAAAUCAAUAGAUUUAGAAAAUGAACCAAAAGAAGGGUACGUGUGCGUGCGGCUGGGCGAGGACGCGUCGCUGGGCGGGUUCACGCCGCUCAUGUACAUGGAGCCGGGCGCCGCCUACUGCGCGCCCGCCGCGCCGCUGCAGCGCGCCGAGCACGCGCUGCGCACCAGGAAAUUGCUCUUCUUCGGCACCGAGUACCUGGUGGGCGUGGAGCCGCCGGUGCUGCGGCUGGAGUAUCCGGCGGAGGCGCCGCCGCGUUACGUCAGCGCAGUGCAGCGCGCACAACCCCACCACCCCCCACUGCGGAAUUUGACGGAAGCAUCGGAAGAGGAAGGCAGUGCGACCGAGACGGGCAGCUUCCCCGCCAGCAGCGACGUGCUGGAGUCGGCCGGCGCGGACGAGGCCACGCGCUCGCUGCUGCGGCGCAAGGAACAGCUCGAGACCAGGAAAGCGACCAUCGAACGUCAUCGACAACGAAUGCAGGAGAUUCUGCGCACGAGUUCUGUAGAUGUGGCUAUCGAGGUGCGUCCGCGAUGGUUGGUGCCCGACACGAACUGCUUCAUCGACCACCUGGUGCUGAUACGCGCCAUUGCCACAGCUCCCUCGCAGCCUUACACCCUCGCCGUGCCUCUUGUCGUUUUGACCGAGUUGGAGGGGUUGUGUAAAUGUUCCCGUGUGGGCGGCGCGGCUCGCGAGGCGCUGACGUGGCUGACGGGCGGUGCGGGCGGUGCGGGGGGCGCGGGGGGCGCGGGGGGCGCGGUGCGGCUCGCCACCACGCGCGGCUCGCUGCUCGCCUCGCGCGCCUUCACCGCCGAGCGCGACCACGAGCGCGCCACCAACGACGACCGCGUGCUCGCCACCGCGCUCAACUUGCACGCCAACGUGUCCGCCGAUGCCGGCGCGCGCGUGGAGGAGGGCGGCGGCGACUCGAGCGCGCGGCGCGAGGUGGUGCUGCUCACCGACGACCGCAACCUGCGCGUCAAGGCGCUCGCCGCCGACCUGCCCACGCGCGACCUGCCCUCCUUCGUGCAGUGGGCGGGCUUGCACCCAGACGACAUCAAGAAAUCGCAGUCGGUAGACGAUGACACCGCGAAAUGCAAAUGAUGCAACACGUGAUAUGUAUAAGUGAAAUAGCUCUCGGGUCAUGAUUUUCAUAACUAGUGAUGUGGAACGUGAGCGAUGGAAGUUAUUAAUAAGUAUAAGCACGGCGUCGUUAGCGGCGCUGGUCUCGAGCGGUGGCGAACGGCCGCGUCACGUCUAAUUACAUAGUAUAGGAUUUGAUUAGAGUAGGUAAUCAUAAUAAAGUAUGCAAGUCCCACGAGUGUCAACAUUUCGAGCACAGCUCUGAGGUCACGCAUAUUUCUUUCAACGACUUACCACAAACUGUGGUGACUAAGUUGUUUGCAUGCGAUUUAUUAAAAAAAAUGCUAAGUACAUGAUUGUAAAUUCUAGGUUUUUGUUAAUAUCCUCGUGCCAUUAGUUGUAUUUCAGUGGAAUGAAGGAUGUUAUGGUAAUAUAAUAUUAUAGUAGUUGGCUUUAUAAAUACAUUAAAAAAAAAGAAAUAAAAAAAGAAAAAUAUAUUUUUUUCUGUUAGAAAAUAUUGAAUCAUUAUUUUGUUAUGAUACAAAGUACAAAAAUGGACAUUUUGAUAGCACCGUGUUUUUCGAGUUUAUAUUGAAGUUACACGAUGAACACAUUUCCAUCACGGAUCCGUAUUAUAUUUCAAACGUUUAUCUCUUUAUAAUAUUAAAUAUUAUGCUGUAUUAUCGAAAUAUGUUUGUAAGCUUUUAAUUCCAAUAGUUUUAUAUUGAAUAACUCGCGUAGUGAAUAAUAUUGUGUUGCUGAAGGUUUUACUUAAAUUUUUACCUAUUACAAAAAUCUCAAAUAACGCAUGUCAGUAUGUAAUUCAUGAAUAUAAUUUUUAUUGAUAAAUGAGAAUAUUGUAUAAAUUGUAAUAAUUAUUGCGUCGUUAAUGUUUAUUAAAUCGUGUCCUCUAUUAUUUUUGAAACUUUCGUGAAGUUACUUUUGUCUUAAUCAUGACCUAUUAAAAUAAACUAUGAAUCACUUCAAAGACUAA